Acinonyx jubatus (cheetah) is the source of this 537-nucleotide long non-coding RNA. RefSeq lists it as uncharacterized. Lineage: Eukaryota; Metazoa; Chordata; Mammalia; Carnivora; Felidae. The record is from RefSeq and is a predicted model, not a curated record. The transcript has 3 exons.
GUAGAAAGAACCUAGUCAGACAAAAUAAUUCACAGUGACAAUGGACGUUUACUGAGAGACCUGAUGCUUACAAAAAUUCAGAACUCUGCCCAAGGUCAAGCAGCCCAGUAGUGAUUGAAAGAGACAGAGCAGGGGAGGAGCAGAGAGAGAGGGAGAGAGAGAAUCCCAGGCAGGUCUCCCACUGUCAGCAUGGAGCCCGAUGCAGGGCUUGAUCUCCUGAACCACAAGAUCAUGACCUGAGUGGAAAUCAAGAGCUGGACGUUUAACCGACUGAGCCACCCGGGCGCCCCGUCACAGUAAAUUUCUGACAUCCAUCUGUGUGGUUGCCAGAGUUUAUUUCUUUUCAUUGCUUUAUAGAAUUCCGUUGUACAAAUAUACUACAUUGAAUGCAUGUAAGUUGUUGGGCAUGCAUGUUGUUUUCAACUGUUAGAAAUUACAAUAAUGAACGUACCUACAAAAAGUGAACUUCUUGUAAAUAUCUUUUACGAGCAAAUGUGUGCAUUUCUCUGGGUCAAAACUUAGGAGUGAAAGUUCUGA